This 500-nucleotide ribosomal RNA is filed under the name Planococcaceae bacterium 109-1. Its description in RNAcentral is "SSU rRNA". It matches the Rfam family "Bacterial small subunit ribosomal RNA", at positions 1 to 480 of the family's 1533-position model. Lineage: Bacteria; Bacillati; Bacillota; Bacilli; Caryophanales; Caryophanaceae. The record is from RNAcentral.
UUGAAUGUCGACAGAGUUUGAUCCUGGCUCAGGACGAACGCUGNCGGCGUGCCUAAUACAUGCAAGUCGAGCGGAACCUUUGGAGCUUGCUCCAUNGGUUUAGCGGCGGACGGGUGAGUAACACGUGGGCAACCUGCCCUGCAGAUCGGGAUAACUCCGGGAAACCGGUGCUAAUACCGAAUAGUUUGUUUCACCUCCUGGUGAAGCACGGAAAGACGGUUUCGGCUGUCACUGCAGGAUGGGCCCGCGGCGCAUUAGCUAGUUGGUGGGGUAAUGGCCCACCAAGGCGACGAUGCGUAGCCGACCUGAGAGGGUGAUCGGCCACACUGGGACUGAGACACGGCCCAGACUCCUACGGGAGGCAGCAGUAGGGAAUCUUCCGCAAUGGACGCAAGUCUGACGGAGCAACGCCGCGUGAGUGACGAAGGUUUUCGGAUCGUAAAACUCUGUUGUGAGGGAAGAACACGUACCAAGUAACUACUGGUACCUUGACGGUACCU